CUUAGGCCGUGUUUACACCAAACGCCAUGUACAGUAAACAUGUUUAAAAUUAGUUUAAUGUAAUGUACAUUGGUUUCACAUUAAAUUUGUUCACAUCUAUACACCUGGUUUAGUUACCUGUGCAUAAGUUUUGUUCACACUUAUAAACUAUAUGUCAUUUAAAUGUUCAUUACAUAGUUAAGAAUUGAAUGCUCUUUUUUGUAAAUUUAUUGGGGUGUAAAAGCGUUGACCGAAGUACAUUUUGUAUGAAGCGCGGAAG
Molecule: long non-coding RNA, 259 nt
Filed under: Mytilus galloprovincialis (Mediterranean mussel)
Lineage: Eukaryota; Metazoa; Mollusca; Bivalvia; Mytilida; Mytilidae
Source: RNAcentral